GUUUACUCCUCCUACCACUCCCUUAUCUCCCAAAAAUGGACAUCUUCAGCCAUGGAAAAAAUUGAUCCAAGAAUCCGCCGGGGUGCGACGCCGAGUCGACGCUAGUUCCAAUCCCAUGCGCGGCGCCGACUGCGCUCCUCUCUCCACUCGCCGUUCCCCCAAAAUGAAACUCUCGACCCAACCACUGCCGGGGUCGUUCAAUUUCUCAGAGAUAAAUCUGACAAAGCAACCACUAUGGGAUACAUGAGAUGUGCAGUGAGGUGAUGUAUGUGUGGUGUAGAGAUGGGUGGUAGAGGAGUCGUCAGAUGUACAUUCAAUUAUAUUGCGUUCAUGUCAGAGCUAUGAGACAGAUUAAGGCAUGAGUCGUGAUAUUGAAAUUGCGGAUACUUAGUAAAUUGAAGGU
This 403-nucleotide ribosomal RNA is filed under the name Triticum aestivum (bread wheat). RNAcentral's name for it is "partial small subunit ribosomal RNA". Lineage: Eukaryota; Viridiplantae; Streptophyta; Magnoliopsida; Poales; Poaceae. The record is from RNAcentral.